Molecule: ribosomal RNA, 459 nt
Filed under: uncultured bacterium
Lineage: Bacteria
Description: partial 16S ribosomal RNA
Rfam family: Bacterial small subunit ribosomal RNA
Source: RNAcentral
CCUACGGGUGGCAGCAGUGAGGAAUAUUGGUCAAUGGGCGGGAGCCUGAACCAGCCAAGUAGCGUGAAGGAUGACAGCCCUACGGGUUUUAAACUUCUUUUAUAAGGGAAUAACGCGCCUCACGUGUGGGGUUUUGUAUGUACCUUAUGAAUAAGCAUCGGCUAAUUCCGUGCCAGCAGCCGCGGUAAUACGGAAGAUGCGAGCGUUAUCCGGAUUUAUUGGGUUUAAGGGGAGCGUAGGCGGUUCCAUAAGCCAGCGGUAAAAUCGUGCGGCUCAACCGUACCGUGCCGUGGAAACUGGGGGACUUGAGUAUGCGCAGAGUAGAUGGAAUUCGUGGUGUAGCGGUGAAAUGCUUAGAUAUGACGAAGAACUCCGAGCGCGAAGGCAGUGUGCCGGAGCGAGACUGACGCUGAGGCUCGAAAGUGCGGGUAUCGAACAGGAUUAGAUACCCUUGUAGUC